UACGUAGGGAGCAAGCGUUGUCCGGAUUUAUUGGGCGUAAAGAGCUCGUAGGCGGCUUGGCAAGUCGGAUGUGAAACCCCCCAGGCUUAACCUGGGGCCGCCAUUCGAUACUGCUAUGGCUUGAGUUCGGUAGGGGAUUGUGGAAUUCCCGGUGUAGCGGUGAAAUGCGCAGAUAUCGGGAGGAACACCAAUGGCGAAGGCAGCAAUCUGGGCCGACACUGACGCUGAGGAGCGAAAGGCUGGGGGGAGCAAACAGGAUUAGAUACCCUGGUAGUCCCACGCCCUAAACGUUGGGCACUAGGUGUGGGACCUACUUCGACGGGUUCCGUGCCGUAGCUAACGCAUUAAGUGCCCCGCCUGGGGAGUACGGCCGCGAGGCUA
RNAcentral lists this ribosomal RNA (381 nucleotides) under uncultured bacterium. RNAcentral describes it as "bacterial SSU rRNA". It matches the Rfam family "Bacterial small subunit ribosomal RNA", at positions 524 to 896 of the family's 1533-position model. The record is from RNAcentral.